GUUUGAUCCUGGCUCAGAUUGAACGCUAGCGGGAUGCCUUACACAUGCAAGUCGAACGGCAGCACGGACUUCGGUCUGGUGGCGAGUGGCGAACGGGUGAGUAAUGUAUCGGAACGUGCCCAGUAGCGGGGGAUAACUACGCGAAAGCGUAGCUAAUACCGCAUACGCCCUACGGGGGAAAGCAGGGGAUCGCAAGACCUUGCACUAUUGGAGCGGCCGAUAUCGGAUUAGCUAGUUGGUGGGGUAACGGCUCACCAAGGCGACGAUCCGUAGCUGGUUUGAGAGGACGACCAGCCACACUGGGACUGAGACACGGCCCAGACUCCUACGGGAGGCAGCAGUGGGGAAUUUUGGACAAUGGGGGAAACCCUGAUCCAGCCAUCCCGCGUGUGCGAUGAAGGCCUUCGGGUUGUAAAGCACUUUUGGCAGGAAAGAAACGUCGUGGGUUAAUACCCCGCGAAACUGACGGUACCUGCAGAAUAAGCACCGGCUAACUACGUG
Molecule: ribosomal RNA, 501 nt
Filed under: Paracoccus liaowanqingii
Lineage: Bacteria; Pseudomonadati; Pseudomonadota; Alphaproteobacteria; Rhodobacterales; Paracoccaceae
Description: Bacterial small subunit ribosomal RNA
Rfam family: Bacterial small subunit ribosomal RNA
Source: Rfam by way of RNAcentral